RNAcentral lists this ribosomal RNA (253 nucleotides) under uncultured bacterium. RNAcentral describes it as "partial 16S ribosomal RNA". It matches the Rfam family "Bacterial small subunit ribosomal RNA", at positions 524 to 776 of the family's 1533-position model. The record is from RNAcentral.
UACGAAGGGGGCUAGCGUUGUUCGGAAUUACUGGGCGUAAAGCGCGCGCAGGCGGUCUUCCAAGUCAGUGGUGAAAGCCCGGAGCUCAACUCCGGAGCUGCCAUUGAAACUGUAAGACUUGAGGAUGAGAGAGGUGAGUGGAAUUCCCAGUGUAGAGGUGAAAUUCGUAGAUAUUGGGAAGAACACCGGUGGCGAAGGCGGCUCACUGGCUCAUAUCUGACGCUCAGGCGCGACAGCGUGGGGAUCAAACAGG